This 253-nucleotide ribosomal RNA is filed under the name uncultured bacterium. RNAcentral describes it as "partial 16S ribosomal RNA". It matches the Rfam family "Bacterial small subunit ribosomal RNA", at positions 524 to 776 of the family's 1533-position model. The record is from RNAcentral.
UACGGAGGGUGCAAACGUUGCUCGGAAUCAUUGGGCGUAAAGCGCACGUAGGUGGCCUGUUAAGUCGGGUGUGAAAUCCCUGGGCUCAACCCAGGAAGUGCACUCGAAACUGGCAGGCUUGAGUACUGAAGAGGGUCGCGGAAUUCCCGGUGUAGAGGUGAAAUUCGUAGAUAUCUGGAGGAACACCGGUGGCGAAGGCGGCAUCCUGGACCGACACUGACACUGAGGAGCGAAAGCCAGGGGAGCAAACGGG